Molecule: ribosomal RNA, 745 nt
Filed under: uncultured bacterium
Lineage: Bacteria
Description: bacterial SSU rRNA
Rfam family: Bacterial small subunit ribosomal RNA
Source: RNAcentral
ACGCUGGCGGCAGGCCUAACACAUGCAAGUCGAGCGGUAGAGAGAAGCUUGCUUCUCUUGAGAGCGGCGGACGGGUGAGUAAUGCCUAGGAAUCUGCCUGGUAGUGGGGGAUAACGUUCGGAAACGGACGCUAAUACCGCAUACGUCCUACGGGAGAAAGCAGGGGACCUUCGGGCCUUGCGCUAUCAGAUGAGCCUAGGUCGGAUUAGCUAGUUGGUGAGGUAAUGGCUCACCAAGGCGACGAUCCGUAACUGGUCUGAGAGGAUGAUCAGUCACACUGGAACUGAGACACGGUCCAGACUCCUACGGGAGGCAGCAGUGGGGAAUAUUGGACAAUGGGCGAAAGCCUGAUCCAGCCAUGCCGCGUGUGUGAAGAAGGUCUUCGGAUUGUAAAGCACUUUAAGUUGGGAGGAAGGGCAGUUACCUAAUACGUGAUUGUUUUGACGUUACCGACAGAAUAAGCACCGGCUAACUCUGUGCCAGCAGCCGCGGUAAUACAGAGUGUGCAAGCGUUAAUCGGAAUUACUGGGCGUAAAGCGCGCGUAGGUGGUUCGUUAAGUUGGAUGUGAAAUCCCCGGGCUCAACCUGGGAACUGCAUUCAAAACUGUCGAGCUAGAGUAUGGUAGAGGGUGGUGGAAUUUCCUGUGUAGCGGUGAAAUGCGUAGAUAUAGGAAGGAACACCAGUGGCGAAGGCGACCACCUGGACUGAUACUGACACUGAGGUGCGAAAGCGUGGGGAGCAAAC